Non-coding RNA from Chrysemys picta bellii (western painted turtle), 1687 nucleotides. Lineage: Eukaryota; Metazoa; Chordata; Testudines; Emydidae. The record is from RefSeq and is a predicted model, not a curated record.
CUAUCAGGGAUGGCUAGACAGUAUUUGAUCCUGCCAUGAGGGCAGGGGACUGGACUCGAUGACCUCUUGAGGUCCCUUCCAGUCCUAGAAUCUAUGAAUCUAUGAAAAUGGCCCUCGAGGGUAGCAGUUGAGGAGCAGCAGCUCCUCAAAAGGUAUCUGGGAAAAAGGUCCUGGAAAAGUGCAGCCCCACUCUGAGGAGAUUUGGUAAAAUCCAGACACUGACAGAGGAAUCGGUGUUUCUGUGUCACAGCCGAUGGACCUGACCCAAAGCCCGUUGUUGCCAAAGGAAAGACUCUCACAGACAAGUGGGACUAAAUGGUAGAAUAAAUGGCCACAAUGGGGUGCUGCCAUUCACUGCAAAAUUAGAGAGUUGGAAAAAAUUGCAAAGUUUCAGUGUAAUUUAAACAAUAUUUGUGGUGGUGGCAGCUUAAGAUUGUUUCUUCACCGCGGGGAACAAUUCCAGGUUUUCUGUUCUGCAGCACGGCUCUUGCAGCCUGUCUGUGCUUUACUUUCUCUAUUUAUCUAAGUGUGGACAAUGAAAAAAAAAUCAGUUUUACAACUUUUAAUUCAUUUCACUUUCAAUGUCCUAGUGCUCCAACGUUUGGGUUUCAGACACUGCUCAGGAAGCUGGGUCUCAGAACUAUUUUCAGUCAGUUACAGAGCUUUUAAAAAAAAGUUAUAAGUGCUGGAAAUAGGGGCACUAGGGGUGCAGCACCUAGGGUUGCAAACUGUCAUGAAUAUAGGGGGAAGGAUAGCAACCUUUAUGUAUGCUUGGCAGCUGUACUGGAUUGCCUUACCUGUGAAGGGUUAAGCAGUUCAAAUAACCUAGUUGGCAUCUGACCAGAAGGACCAGUGAGAAAAGAAGAUACUUUGAAACUUGGGGCGGGGGGAAGGAUUUGUUCAUUGUUCUGUGGGUUGUUCCCUCUCCGGACGGAGGGAGAAACCAAGCUGGUACAAUAUCUCCUGAAAAAUAUACCUGGAAUAAGCCACCUAAAACCACAGAAACUGCGAGUAAGGAAAGGAAAUGUGUCACUCGAUAACUAAAUGAUGGAUGUUAGCAACAAGCUCCCUUCCGUGAAGGCCCUUUGCCCGGACCUCCUGGCCAGUGGUUCACCGCAUUGCAUUUCAUCGUGCCUCGGAAAGACUUACCUUCAUCACACCAUCCAUCGCUGUGCUGUGAGACACUUACCUUGAAGGAUCCUGACAUCUCCAGUGCCGUGCCUGUCCUGGGAGUGUGAGUACGCGAGUAAGCUUCAGCUCCGUUCCCGCUCUGCUGGGGCUGCUCCAUUCCCAGCAGCACGGACACAGCCAGGAAGGUGUCAGAAGCUUUUGGUGAGAGGGAUCAGAAGAGGCAGGGCCUUGCCAUCGAAGGGGAGGUCCUACAGGGAGGUCUGUGCCUCAUUGGACAGCCCGGACAAGAGGAGCCAGGACACCCUCCACAUGGACACCACAGAAGCCCUGGUUCUUGCUGCCAUGUCUGCCACAUCUGAAGCUGCCUGAAAGGCAGCUCUGGCAGCAGCGAUGCCCUCCUCCACCAGGGCCUUAUACUCCUUCCUAUCAUGUUCCUGGAGGGAGUCUGUAAACUUAGGCAUUGACCACCCCAAGUUAAAAUCAUAUCUGCCCAGCAGGGCUUGGUGGUUUGCCACCCUCAGCUGAAAGCUUGAAGAGGAAUAAAGCUUUCUGCCAA